UGUGUGUAUAUAUUUAUUCUUGAGAAAAAUUAAUAACAAUAACGGAGGUAAGAUGAAUAGAAACAUAAAACAUCAUAGGUUAGAAAGAAAAGAGAGAGAAUAAAAAUAAAACAGCCAAAGCUUACGAGUUUACGAGCUAGGGAGUAGUAUGAAGUGGUAAAGUAAGAUUUUUUAAAGUAUUGUGAGAGAUUUUUUAAAGUAAUGUGAGAUACAAUAAUGAAAAGUAAGGUAAUUUUAUGUUGUUUGAGAGGAAAGUAAGAUAAAUAAUGGUUUAUAAAUCUUUGUUUGAAUAUGAAAAAG
RNAcentral lists this unclassified non-coding RNA (300 nucleotides) under Hevea brasiliensis (rubber tree). Lineage: Eukaryota; Viridiplantae; Streptophyta; Magnoliopsida; Malpighiales; Euphorbiaceae. The record is from RNAcentral.